Molecule: ribosomal RNA, 329 nt
Filed under: Escherichia coli
Lineage: Bacteria; Pseudomonadati; Pseudomonadota; Gammaproteobacteria; Enterobacterales; Enterobacteriaceae
Also listed under: 4 other names
Description: bacterial SSU rRNA
Rfam family: Bacterial small subunit ribosomal RNA
Source: RNAcentral
CGACCAGGGCUACACACGUGCUACAAUGGCGCAUACAAAGAGAAGCGACCUCGCGAGAGCAAGCGGACCUCAUAAAGUGCGUCGUAGUCCGGAUUGGAGUCUGCAACUCGACUCCAUGAAGUCGGAAUCGCUAGUAAUCGUGGAUCAGAAUGCCACGGUGAAUACGUUCCCGGGCCUUGUACACACCGCCCGUCACACCAUGGGAGUGGGUUGCAAAAGAAGUAGGUAGCUUAACCUUCGGGAGGGCGCUUACCACUUUGUGAUUCAUGACUGGGGUGAAGUCGUAACAAGGUAACCGUAGGGGAACCUGCGGUUGGAUCACCUCCUUA